AUGGCGGGGCCUCAUGGCUGGGGUGUCUGGAGACAGGAGGAGGUCCCUGCAGGAUUGGCAUUUUUAUCUGCUUGCUGGGGUAGGCUGCUGAAGCUGCCGCUGAUGCUCCAGUCUGGGGACCCGGCUUGGAGAAACGCCGGCUUCUGGCAGAAGGUUCCAGUGCCUUACCCCAUGCUGAACUCUCCCCCUUAUCUGGCCCCCAUUUGCUUUUCCAAACCAGAUGGUCUCCAACUCAUGAAUCCUUUAUUUCAGUCAAAUGGAGUGCUCCCUGGCCUUUGUACUUGCCCCAUACGUGUCGAUUCUGGCCGGCCGGCCUGCCUUCUUUCCUUCCUCCCUCCUCUCUCCCUUCCCCCUCCCUCCUUCCUCCCUUCCUUCCUUCCUUCCUUCCUUCCUUCCUUCCUUCCUUCCUUCCUUCCUUCCUUCCUUCCUCCUCCCUCCCUCCCUCCCCUCCUCCCUCCUCCCUCCCUUCCUUCCUCUCUCCCUUCCUUUCUCCUCCCUCCCCCUCCGUCCCUCCCUCCCUUCCUUCCUCUCUCCCUCCCCUCCCUCCCUCCCUUCCUUCCUCUCUCCCUCCCCUCCCUCCCUUCCUUCCUUCCUUCCUUCCUUCCUUCCUUCCUUCCUUCCUUCCUUCCUUCCUUCCUUCCUUCCUUCCUUCCUUCCUUCCUUCCUUCCUUCCUUCCUGUGCUCAAAUCCCACCUUCAAAGACUGAAACAUCACCCUGAUGCCUAUCUUUGUUAUCCUUGUCCUGAGCCGCUGGAGUCUAGCAUCCCAGCAGCAGUGCUGCCUCCAGUCUGGUGCCCCACCUCCCUCCCUCUGCUGGGAGGAGCACCUCUGGGUGGAAAUCCAGCACCACAUGUGCUCCUCUGCUCAGGCUCCUCCAGGGGCUGCCUUGGCCAUAGGCAGUGUUUGCCAUCCUGGGGGAGUGUGUGUGUGUGUGUGUGUGUGUGUGUGUGCGCGCACAUACCCGUACAGGAUGGGAGGGGUAAGGGACGUCUUGUUGGACCCAAAUGCACAAACAUCAUACAGUGUCUCUCAGGGAUUGAGAUGAAUGGUCAUGAGAAUUAUAAAAAAUUCUAA
This 1074-nucleotide long non-coding RNA is filed under the name Felis catus (domestic cat). RNAcentral's name for it is "lncRNA (ENSFCAG00000050257.1)". The record is from RNAcentral. Lineage: Eukaryota; Metazoa; Chordata; Mammalia; Carnivora; Felidae.